GACGAACGCUGGCGGCGUGCUUAACACAUGCAAGUCGAACGAAAAGGCCCUGCUUUUGUGGGGUGCUCGAGUGGCGAACGGGUGAGUAACACGUGAGUAACCUGCCCUUGACUUUGGGAUAACUUCAGGAAACUGGGGCUAAUACCGGAUAGGAGCUCCUGCUGCAUGGUGGGGGUUGGAAAGUUUCGGCGGUUGGGGAUGGACUCGCGGCUUAUCAGCUUGUUGGUGGGGUAGUGGCAUACCAAGGCUUUGACGGGUAGCCGGCCUGAGAGGGUGACCGGCCACAUUGGGACUGAGAUACGGCCCAGACUCCUACGGGAGGCAGCAGUGGGGAAUAUUGCACAAUGGGCGGAAGCCUGAUGCAGCAACGCCGCGUGCGGGAUGACGGCCUUCGGGUUGUAAACCGCUUUCGCCUGUGACGAAGCGUGAGUGACGGUAAUGGGUAAAGAAGCACCGGCUAACUACGUG
This 468-nucleotide ribosomal RNA is filed under the name uncultured bacterium. RNAcentral describes it as "partial 16S ribosomal RNA". It matches the Rfam family "Bacterial small subunit ribosomal RNA", at positions 28 to 507 of the family's 1533-position model. The record is from RNAcentral.